Molecule: ribosomal RNA, 309 nt
Filed under: Triticum aestivum (bread wheat)
Lineage: Eukaryota; Viridiplantae; Streptophyta; Magnoliopsida; Poales; Poaceae
Description: partial small subunit ribosomal RNA
Source: RNAcentral
GUUGUGACAAGUGUUCGAACAUGUGAUGUCGACACUGAUGACUUCCCGAUUAAGAUAGGACUGCAUCAGGGGUUAGCUUUGAGCCCUUAUCUUUUUGCCUUGAUGAUGGAUGGGGUCACAAGGGAUAUACAAGGAGAUAUCCCAUGGCAUAUGCUCUUUGCGGAUGAUGUGGUGCUAGUUGAUGAUAGUCGAACGGGGGUAAAUAGGAAGUUAGAGUUAUGGAGACAAACCUUGAAAUCGAAAGGGUUUAGGCUUAGUAGAACUAAAACCGAGUACAUGAUGUGCGGUUUCAGUACUACUAGGUGCGAG